Molecule: ribosomal RNA, 336 nt
Filed under: Triticum aestivum (bread wheat)
Lineage: Eukaryota; Viridiplantae; Streptophyta; Magnoliopsida; Poales; Poaceae
Description: partial small subunit ribosomal RNA
Source: RNAcentral
AUGGUGGGGAUCCCUGUCAAUAAACUCACAUGGAAAGUAAUCUCACAAAUUGCAUAUAUUUUGGGCAUCCUGGUUAAUGUUGACUGGCAUGAGAUCUUCAGAUGUUUUUAUGAAAAGGUCAAAGUUCAGGUUGUUGUGAGAGAUGUGUCUAAAAUUCCCUCCGAAAGGCUAGUUGAGAUUGAUACAGAACUAUUUCUUAUCUCUUUUCUGGUGGAAACAGAAUCUGUCUUCGAGGUGGCUAACACCAGGACAGAAGAGAGAGAGAGAGAGAGAGAGAGAGAGAGAGAGAGAGAGGGAGGGAGAGAGAGAGGGAGAGGGAGAGAGAGAGAAAUCUGA